Long non-coding RNA from Arabidopsis lyrata subsp. lyrata, 664 nucleotides. RefSeq lists it as uncharacterized. NCBI's taxonomy places the organism in Eukaryota, Viridiplantae, Streptophyta, Magnoliopsida, Brassicales, Brassicaceae. The transcript is spliced from 2 exons. The record is from RefSeq and is a predicted model, not a curated record.
AAUCGAUCAAUCUAAAAAUGAUCGUGUAUUAUCUCUCUCAAUCUCACUGCCUCCUAAUGCAUCUCUCUCUCUCUCUUCAUCACGGUUGCUGCUGCUGCGGAGUUUAGUGGUGAGGUUUUAGAGACGGAGCUCUAGUGCGUGGCGAAGAACAACGCUGAGGAUUCGGCACUUCAAACGACCAUUGACUGGGCUUGUGGUCCCGGAGGAGCUGAUUGCGGCGGGAUUCAGCAAGGCGGAUCCUGCUACGAUCCACUGAUGAUAGUGAAGAUGGCUUCGUAUGUUUUCAAUAACUAUUAUCUGAAGAACGGUCUCGCAGAUGAAGCUUGCAACUUUAGUAACAACGCAGCUGUUACUUCACUGAAUCCUAGUCAAGGAACAUGCAAGUUUCCUUCAAGGUAAUUAGCAUUUGUGUGUGUCAUUAUAGUCUGUUUGGAGCAAUUUUCGAUCGUCUUUUAGAAAUGAUUCCUAGUUUGAUGGGUUUUGAGUGAAAUCUUUGAAUAGCACUUUUCAUUAGUUUCUGGAUUAGAAGGAUGAAGUUACUUCACUUCUCCUCGAGAAUUGCUUUUAUCUUGAUGGUAUAUUGUUCAUUUAUUGAUCAAUAUUAUGCAGUUUCUGUAGAACAUAGAAGAGGUUGCAAAUAUUAUUAAAGCAAAUUUUCUGAAAA